CCAGAGAACUUAGCAGAGAUGCUUUGGUGCCCUUCGGGGAACUCNGAGACAGGUGCUGCAUGGCUGUCGUCAGCUCGUGUUGUGAAAUGUUGGGUUAAGUCCCGCAACGAGCGCAACCCUUAUCCUUUGUUGCCAGCGGCUCGGCCGGGAACUCAAAGGAGACUGCCGGUGAUAAACCGGAGGAAGGUGGGGAUGACGUCAAGUCAUCAUGGCCCUUACGGCCAGGGCUACACACGUGCUACAAUGGCGCAUACAAAGAGAAGCGACCUCGCGAGAGCAAGCGGACCUCAUAAAGUGCGUCGUAGUCCGGAUUGGAGUCUGCAACUCGACUCCAUGAAGUCGGAAUCGCUAGUAAUCGUAGAUCAGAAUGCUACGGUGAAUACGUUCCCGGGCCUUGUACACACCGCCCGUCACACCAUGGGAGUGGGUUGCAAAAGAAGUAGGUAGCUUAACCUUCGGGAGGGCGCUUACCACUUUGUGAUUCAUGACUGGGGUGAAGUCGUAACAAGGUAAGCGUAGCGAG
Molecule: ribosomal RNA, 523 nt
Filed under: uncultured bacterium
Lineage: Bacteria
Description: bacterial SSU rRNA
Rfam family: Bacterial small subunit ribosomal RNA
Source: RNAcentral